UGAGGAAUAUUGGACAAUGGGUGAAAACCUGAUCCAGCCAUGCCGCGUGCAGGAAGACGGCCCUAUGGGUUGUAAACUGCCUUUGUAUGGGAGCAAUAAGCUCUACGUGUAGAGUGAUGAGAGUGCCAUACGAAUAAGCCACGGCUAACUACGUGCCAGCAGCCGCGGUAAUACGUAGGUGGCGAGCGUUGUCCGGAUUUACUGGGUGUAAAGGGCGUGUAGGCGGGUAAACAAGUCAGAUGUGAAAUACCGAGGCUCAACUUCGGGGCUGCAUUUGAAACUGUAUAUCUUGAGUGUCGGAGAGGAAAGCGGAAUUCCUAGUGUAGCGGUGAAAUGCGUAGAUAUUACACAGAACACCGAUUGCGAAGGCAGCUGACAAAACCAUAAUUGACGCUGAUGCACGAAAGUGUGGGGAUCAAACA
RNAcentral lists this ribosomal RNA (422 nucleotides) under uncultured bacterium. RNAcentral's name for it is "bacterial SSU rRNA". It matches the Rfam family "Bacterial small subunit ribosomal RNA", at positions 355 to 774 of the family's 1533-position model. The record is from RNAcentral.